UACGGAGGAUGCGAGCGUUAUCCGGAUUUACUGGGUGUAAAGGGAGCGUAGACGGCGCGGCAAGUCUGAAGUGAAAGGCAGGGGCUUAACCCCUGAACUGCUUUGGAAACUGCCAUGCUAGAGUGCUGGAGAGGUAAGUGGAAUUCCUAGUGUAGCGGUGAAAUGCGUAGAUAUUAGGAGGAACACCAGUGGCGAAGGCGGCUUGCUGGACGAUGACUGACGUUGAGGCUCGAAAGCGUGGGGAGCAAACAGG
RNAcentral lists this ribosomal RNA (253 nucleotides) under uncultured Lachnospiraceae bacterium. Its description in RNAcentral is "partial 16S ribosomal RNA". It matches the Rfam family "Bacterial small subunit ribosomal RNA", at positions 524 to 776 of the family's 1533-position model. The record is from RNAcentral. Lineage: Bacteria; Bacillati; Bacillota; Clostridia; Lachnospirales; Lachnospiraceae.